This is a small nuclear RNA of Eublepharis macularius, 106 nucleotides long. The record is from RefSeq and is a predicted model, not a curated record. Lineage: Eukaryota; Metazoa; Chordata; Lepidosauria; Squamata; Eublepharidae.
GAGCUAACUUCCGCAGCACAUACACUAAAAUUGGAACAAUACAGAGAAGAUUAGCAUGGCCCCGCGCAAAGAUGCCACAAAGGAGCUGGAAAGGUGGUCGAUAUUG